This 57-nucleotide microRNA precursor is filed under the name Dasypus novemcinctus (nine-banded armadillo). Its description in RNAcentral is "microRNA dno-mir-450c precursor". Its record names the gene dno-mir-450c. Lineage: Eukaryota; Metazoa; Chordata; Mammalia; Cingulata; Dasypodidae. The record is from miRBase by way of RNAcentral.
UUUUGUGAUGUGUUCCUAAUAUGAAAUAUAAGUGUAUUGGGAAUAUUUUGCAUCCAU